GCGGAGGAAAAGAAACCAACAGGGAUUGCCCCAGUAACGGCGAGUGAAGCGGCAACAGCUCAAAUUUGAAAUCUGGCCCCAGGCCCGAGUUGUAAUUUGCAGAGGAUGCUUUUGGCGCGGUGCCUUCCGAGUUCCCUGGAACGGGACGCCAUAGAGGGUGAGAGCCCCGUACGGUUGGACACCAAGUCUUUGUAAAGCUCCUUCGACGAGUCGAGUAGUUUGGGAAUGCUGCUCAAAAUGGGAGGUAUAUUUCUUCUAAAGCUAAAUAUUGGCCAGAGACCGAUAGCGCACAAGUAGAGUGAUCGAAAGAUGAAAAGCACUUUGAAAAGAGGGUUAAACAGCACGUGAAAUUGUUAAAAGGGAAGCGCUUAUGACCAGACUUGCGCCCGGUGAAUCACCCAGCUCUCGCGGCUGGGGCACUUUGCCGGCUCAGGCCAGCAUCAGCUCGCUGUCGGGGACAAAAGCUUCGGGAACGUAGCUCUCUUCGGGGAGUGUUAUAGCCCGUUGCACAAUACCCUUCGGCGGGCUGAGGUACGCGCUCCGCAAGGAUGCUGGCGUAAUGGUCAUCAGCGACCCGUCUUGAAACACGGACCAAGGAGUCAACCUUAUGUGCGAGUGUUUGGGUGUCAAACCCCUACGCGUAAUGAAAGUGAACGCAGGUGAGAGCUUCGGCGCAUCAUCGACCGAUCCUGAUGUUCUCGGAUGGAUUUGAGUAAGAGCAUAUAGGGUUGGACCCGAAAGAAGGUGAACUAUGCGUGUAUAGGGUGAAGCCAGAGGAAACUCUGGUGGAGGCUCGCAGCGGUUCUGACGUGCAAAUCGAUCGUCAAAUAUGCGCAUGGGGGCGAAAGACUAAUCGAACCUUCUAGUAGCUGGUUCCG
Molecule: small RNA, 878 nt
Filed under: Colletotrichum boninense
Lineage: Eukaryota; Fungi; Ascomycota; Sordariomycetes; Glomerellales; Glomerellaceae
Description: eukaryotic LSU rRNA
Rfam family: Eukaryotic large subunit ribosomal RNA
Source: RNAcentral